RNAcentral lists this long non-coding RNA (429 nucleotides) under Vigna radiata. RNAcentral's name for it is "long non-coding RNA (VRAD_LNC008942)". Lineage: Eukaryota; Viridiplantae; Streptophyta; Magnoliopsida; Fabales; Fabaceae. The record is from RNAcentral.
UUUGGUUAGACAUGGAAGUUCCAUACACGAACAAAAAUACCUUUAGUUUGUGUUGGUGCUGCGUCAUUCAAAAAAUUUCCCAUAUGUAGAAGAUACCACAUAUUUUCAUGAUGGUUUUUGCUUCCAUAGCUAAAAUCUCGUAUCCUUUCUCUUCUUUGUAGUUUCUAAAGUAGUGAAAAGAAGAUAUAAAUGGCCUCUCCCACUCAAACCAUUGCCUAUCCCAGGUGAAAUUUUCCUCUUCCAUAAUUCUUCCUCCCAACAACCUAAAUCACUAUAACAUCAUAUGAUGAUGGAGAGUUUUAGAAUUAAUAAAAAAAAUCUAUGGGACAAAGUAGCCAUAUUUUUCUCACCUAACCAUCCGGCAAAAUAGGAAUACUUCCCCCAUUUCUCAAUUUCCACCGAACUUGUUUUUCAUACCUAACAUUCCAC